UUCAAACCGUCUUUGUUUUGCAUCCUCUAUAGCCACUUCUUCUAAUGCAUAUUUUGAUAAUCGAGAGAAUUGCAUUUCAUAUUCUGAUAUUGUCAUGUAUCCCUAUUCCAAGCUCAAAAACCCCAUUUUCUUCCGAUCUCUAUACAUUGGUGGUGUGUACUUAUUUGCAAAUUCCCUAAGGAAGUCAUCCCAAGUUAAGGUCAUAGGUCUAUGUUUACUUCCUAAAAUCAGAUCCCACCAAUCUAAAGCCAAUCUUCUCAACAAAGAUACAACAUAUUUCAACUUUUGCUCUGGUGUGCAAUCCAGCCUAUCCAACACCUUGUUUGUCUCCCGUAACCAUUCUUCUGCUAUCUCAGAAUCAGUGAUCCCCUCAAAUUCUGUAGCUCCUUGUUUUCUCAGCCUAUCGUAAGUUUUAUCUUUAGCCUCUAUUUCUCUAACUUUUGCCAUUUGUUGCAUUAUUGGUUAUUGGACUAGCUGAGUGGCUACCCGAUUCACUAUUUGCUGCAAAGACUCAAGAAAUUGCUGCAUUACUAGUGGCAAUUCCUGAGCACCAAGUGGUGCAUUUAUAUGCUCAACUCCAUACACAGACUCAGACUCACUUAGGUCAGCAGGAUUCUCGAUUGUCCCUCUCUACUCAUCCUAUUAAAAAUACAAACACUUAUUUUUAAUUCUUGCAUUCAUAUGCAUCCCUAACAUGUAUAUGCAUUCAUGCCUUUAAAUGCUUUUACAAUUCUAUCCCGAUAAAUUUUAAACCGUGCUCUGAUACCACUAAAUGUAACAUCUGUAAAGGAUGUCAGGUAUACAUUGUAUGCAAAAUGACUGAUACAUAAAAU
This 833-nucleotide long non-coding RNA is filed under the name Ricinus communis (castor bean). RNAcentral's name for it is "long non-coding RNA (RCOM_LNC002940)". The record is from RNAcentral. Lineage: Eukaryota; Viridiplantae; Streptophyta; Magnoliopsida; Malpighiales; Euphorbiaceae.